AGGUAAUUAGUCCAAAGAAAGACAUUUGAUUUCGGCUCAAAAGAUCGUGGUUUAAUUCCACAAUUACCUU
Molecule: transfer RNA, 70 nt
Filed under: Anotopterus pharao (daggertooth)
Lineage: Eukaryota; Metazoa; Chordata; Actinopteri; Aulopiformes; Alepisauridae
Description: tRNA-Arg
Rfam family: tRNA
About the family: Transfer RNA (tRNA) molecules are approximately 80 nucleotides in length. Their secondary structure includes four short double-helical elements and three loops (D, anti-codon, and T loops).
Source: RNAcentral